Long non-coding RNA from Oncorhynchus tshawytscha (Chinook salmon), 2501 nucleotides. Lineage: Eukaryota; Metazoa; Chordata; Actinopteri; Salmoniformes; Salmonidae. The record is from Ensembl.
CUCGUAGAUAUUCCCUCGGUGAAGUAUAUCAGUUCUGGGAAGGUUUCCUCACAAGAUCCACAGCAAGUACCGCUAUCAAUGCAGACAGUACUCCUCAGCAAUAACCGAUAUCCCAUGGGAACAUGAACUAGUUAAUCUUCCCCAAGCAAUUCUCUCUCGGGGGUCGCACGAUGCUAGGCUAUCCUCAAGGCUGUCAAAUACCUCCACGAUGAGACGGUAGCUUCAAUCUUUACUAAGUCUUUCUUAACAAAAUGAUAAUAACUCUCUUAUAAAAUAAAAUCAAAACUCGGUAGGUAUGGGUUUUGUUCUAUUUUUAUCGUAUUCUUUUAUAAUUUUUCUUAACCAACGGUCAUAAUGUAAUGUCCAUCCUUUUUCCAACGUCUCUCCCUUUCUACCAGGCCACAGCUUAACAAGCUACCUUAUUGGUCAAAACUUAAACUUAAUACUUGGUUCUAACAAGAAUAAACUCAAUACUUGGUUCUAACAAAGGAGAGGAAACUUCAAGCUUUGACAUUGAGGGCCAAAACCACAGAGUUCAGAGAGGAACAACAGCAAGCCCUGCUGGAUGAACUGAGAAGACAAAUUGAAGAUGAAGAGGAGGAAGACCGUGACAGAAUCACCCACCAACCAAGGACCAAGCGGCGUGGUAAAAGACAGCGAUGACAGCAGCAGCAGCAACAACAGCGGCCAGCAUCACAGGACUACACAACUUGGGAGGAGAUAGACAGGUGGGCGGUCGACCCAGGGAGAGUGCAGGAGCCCGCCUGGGAUUCGAUGGAGCAGUGCGAGGAAGGUUACAGGAGAAUGAGGUUGGCGAAGCCAGCACGUCAGCGCGACAGGUACGAGAGGCAGCCCCCCCAAAAAAAUGUGUGGGCGGGCAGACGAGGUGUGGGGCUAAGCCAGGUAGCAGACCUGAGCUCACUCCUCGUGCUUAUUAUAAGCAGCGCUUUACUGGUCAGGCACCGUGUUAUGCAGUAAAGCGCACGGUGUCGCCAGUACGUGCCCAUAGCCCGGUGCGCUAUAGGGCAGCCCCCCGGAAGUGCCAUGCGAGUGUGGGCAUCGAGCCAGGGCGUAUGGUGCCUGCUCAGCGUGUCUGGUCGCCGGUACGCCGUUUCGGGCCAGGGUAUCCUGCGCCGGCUCUGCGUGCUGUGUCUCCGGGGCACUGGGAGGGUGCAGUGCGUCCUAUGCCUGCGCUCCGCUCGUGCCGGGCAAAUGUGGGAGUGGAGCCUAAGGGAGAGGUGUGUGUAGUAAGCUCUAGAUCUCCCGUGCUUACCCACAGCCCGGUUCAACCUGUGCCUGCACUCUGGAGGGUCCGGGCUAGAGUAGUUGUCCAGCCUGGGGAAGUGGUGCCAAGGUUGCGCACCAGAGCUCCAGUGCUCCUCCACAGCCCGGUCCUUCAGGUGCCUCCUCCUAACACCAAGCCUCCUGAAGGUCUCCCCAGCCUGGUGGUUCCUGUGGCAGCCCCACGCACCAGGCUGUCUCUCUGUCUCCUCCCUGCAGGUUCUCUUUAUUAAAAUUCACUAUGAACACAUACCACGCCGCAUAUUGGUCCUCUGAUCCUUCUCACCUCUCCUCUUCAGAUGAAGAGGAGGAAGACCGUGACAGUAUGGAAUCAAUCUUUAAGAUGUUUUUAACAUAAAACGUCAAUAAUGUUCCUCUGUUCCUAUGAAUUCCUAUGUCUGUAGAAAAGCAAUGGAACGGGAGGUAACUCUCUCAUGACCGCGCCACAGAGCCUGUGGCAAUCUGCCAAACACCUGGCUCAUUCCUCUCACAUUCGCCCCCACUUCACAGUAGAAUCCUCAAACAAGUUUCUAAAGACGGUUGACAUCUCAUGGAAGCCUUAGGAAGUGCAACAUAACCCAUAUUCCACUGUGUAUUCAAUUGGGUCUGGGUUGAAAAUCGACCAACCUCAGAUUUCCCACUUCCUGUUUGGAUUUCUUCUCAGGUUUUUGCCUGCCAUAUGAGUUUUCUAUCCAAUUGUAAUAAUAAUGUUGUUUAUCCAAUUGUAAUAAUAAUAAUGUUUUCUAUCCAAUUGUAAUAAUAGUAUGCAUAUAUUAGCAACUGGGACUGAGGAGCAGGCCGUUUACUCUGGGCACCUUUCAUCCAAGCUACUCAAUACUGCCCCUGCAGCCAUAAGAAGUUAAAGCAAAAAUCACAGUACUCAAUAGAAACCAAACCCUAUCCUUUAUAAACCUUUUAAAAUUAGGCCUAGUUGUGUCUCGCAUCAAACAAAUCAAAUAUAACUUUAUUUAAAGUGUAUAUAAAAUCACGUUACAGUAAAACAAUCAAAUUCAAGUUAGAGACUGACGUAAUGGUUUAAGCAGGGCUAACAGACCAGUGCCAAAUUCCUUAGAAAUCUAUAAUAUAUAAAUAACACACAUUAUUAGAAAAUGUUGCUCUCAAAGUAGGUCUAGUGGUAGUGCUGCGGCCCCGAGCCCACACAUUACCCCUGGAUGUGUGGGUUCAAACACCAACUGCAUUGCUUUACAGUCUACUUCUCA